Non-coding RNA from Coturnix japonica (Japanese quail), 1564 nucleotides. Lineage: Eukaryota; Metazoa; Chordata; Aves; Galliformes; Phasianidae. The record is from RefSeq and is a predicted model, not a curated record.
GAGGCCGCAGGGAGCCAUCAGACGGCUCCGGGAUCUCAUAGAGUGCGGACGUCGGCGUGGGCUCCGCUCCUUCGUCAGGUUGCGGUGGGACGUUUCCCGGUGAAGAUGAGCCCGAUCCGGUGAGCAGUUCAGGCCGAGCAUCUCGUCAGCCCGAAGCGGCGAGCGUUCAGAAGCCGCUAGGGAGACGCGGCGGCACGGCUCGCACGACCGGACCGCCGUUGAGGACCGCCGUGUUCUUUUCCGGAACUCCUUGAGCUCUGCCUAAGGAUGAAGGAAGAAGUAGGGGAGCCCCGGGGCGCCUCACCCCAGUCGAGGCGCUGCCGGAGCUCGUAUUCCCGGUCUAGGAAGGGCUCGCGGGCGAUACGGUGAAGUUUGGGAUUAGACCGGGAAGACGCAAGGCACCUAAAGGUACCUCGUGGCAAGCGGAGGUCUUUUUCUGUCAUCUCGUCACCAGUGAGAAGAGACUAGUCAGUAGCCCUGCCCUCACGGCAAGGCGGGCGAGGACGGAAGGACAGAGCGAGUGAGAGCAGCCUUCAGGGAGGGCGAGAAGGACAGGCGGCGUGACAGCAGCCGGCUGAGCGCUGCAGCGGAGCAUUUGGCAGCGAGGACGAGCGAGCCCCGCGGCCCGGCUGUGGCAGCAUCCCCUCAGCAGCAGUUUGAGGAGCAGAGUCGGCACGGUCUGGAUGCGUCUGCGUGGAGUCAGGAAUGAGCUGGAGAGAGGAGAAGCUGGGUUCUGUAUCCUGCUGAAGAAGAUGACUUUAUUACAAGCAUCAGGAUUAUUGGCUCCUGAAGGCUCUUUGGUGGGAUUAUUUCUGAUGUGAGCGCUACUGUUCUGCGUUGCCUGUGGGAUCUGAGAUGCCUGAGACUAUCUGCCCUGUAGGGGAAGGGCUGGGCUUAGCUCACUUGAGGGUUUGUGGUGGAGUGGAUACCUGUCUGUCUCUAACUUAAAACAGUAAUUCCUUACAUACCUCACAAAGAUGUGGGUGUGCGGUCUCUUUCUGUGCGUUGGCCUCGCUUGUUUGCUGCUGAAGGUUUUCAUCUUGGGAAAUGUGAAGAGGAAGAGGGAUGAUCCCUGAAGUGAUUGGCUCUUUGGCAUUCCAUGCUCUGUAAAAGACAAAAAAGCCAACCUGGUUGGAAUGGACAUGCGACUCCUACUUCUAUGUGAGAUUGCCCUGACUUCAACUGUUCAAGAUGAGAGCUGCAUCCAAGCGCUUUGUGAAGUGGGUCAGCCCUGGGCUGUGACUGCUGCCUCGAGGAAGCCUGUUCUGAUAUCUCAGCCUUCCUUAGAGUGAGCUUUUUCUUCAUUUCCAACCUGUACCUCCUUUGACCUAACAAACAGAAAAGCUGCCUGGGAAAAGAAGCUGACCCCACCUUGCAAAUGCUCCCUUUCAGCUAAGUUGAAUGGAAGGAGUUUGAGCCCUUCUUUGGAUGCUGCCUGAGAGCAUUAUUGUUGUCUUUUAAUUAUGUUCUGUUAAUAUAACAGCCAUUUAUUGACUUAAUGUAUUAGACAGCUGAAGUUAAUGGAUGUAUUGUUCUAAUAGUGGAGUGGAAUAAAACCUGUUGA